Long non-coding RNA from Pipra filicauda (Wire-tailed manakin), 1703 nucleotides. RefSeq lists it as uncharacterized. The record is from RefSeq and is a predicted model, not a curated record. NCBI's taxonomy places the organism in Eukaryota, Metazoa, Chordata, Aves, Passeriformes, Pipridae. The transcript is spliced from 2 exons.
CGCUCCAUCCUCGUCCCCAUCCAGCCCCAUUCCCAGCCCUAUUGCCAGCCCUAUUGCCAGCCCUGUCCCCUCCGCCGGGCUCCGCGGCCGUGCUGUUCUGCCCUCCUCCCCCCGCCCGCCGCGCCGGUGCCUCCACCCGCCGAGCCGGGGGUCCCGCUGCCUCGCGUCCCCAAAGCACAGCCAUCCCUCCCUUUCCCGCAGCCCCGCCGGUGCGGGAGCGGAGAACUCGCCGUGCCCCUUCCUCCCGUACCUGCGGGAGCCCUGCGAGGAGAGCUGCCCCCCGGCGCUAUCGCAUCUCCCCCACGGGAAGAGGGGGAACCCCCCGGCCCCCGGGAGGAUACGGGGGGAGUGACAGGGGUGUCCCCCCGCUAAACCCCUCGGGGACGCUGCUCCGCUGCUGCCGGAGCCCCGGGGGCCGCCACGUCUCAAACUUCGGGGAAACCCGCUUCGAUGAUCUCCCCCACUCCCUCCUCUCCUCCCUCCCGCCCCCUUUCCGCUAGGAACCGGCCUUUUAUCCCGGCGAGGGAAAUACAGACCUCUCAGGAACAACCAGAAGAGCCAAACAAACAAGAAACCGCAGAAGAAAGCAUUGGAAAAGGCGGCCGGGAGAUAAUCCAGGAAUGCUUCAGAUAAGGAAAGGAGGGGAGCGAUACGUGCGGAGAUACCCGAAAAGUCAGAGCCUGAUGGAGCGGUUGAAAGAGGGAUGGAGGGUGGAGGGGGGGAAACCCGAACUUGUUUAAAGCCCAUUAAAGGUCAGAUCGGGGUGGGGGGUAGGGUGCGUGUGAUCAUAAAAGGAGGUUAAAUGCGAGGGGUUUAAGCGCGCAGAUGAAGCGCAGCGCCAGGAUUUGGGGGUGUGUGGGGGGGUGUUUACUAGCUCCCGAUGCAGAAAAACAAAAGAGCGACGGGUCCGUCCAGAGAGCCAGCCCGGGGACAGCCGGGGCUGCCCUGCGCCCACCGCCGGCACAGCCCGGGCCCGGGGAACCGCGGGGGAACGGGGGAACCGGGAACGGGGACUGCCCGCUCCCCCCCACGGCUGGCCCUGACGUUUGCAGAAGUUAUGGGGGAUUUUGAUUAAUUAGAUGGAGGGCUUCAUAAAAUACUUCCCAAUAAAAUUUACGGAUGUCUUAAAACUUUCGAAACACAGCUAUAUAUAUAUAUAUAUAUAUAUAUAUAUAUAUUUUAAUAAAACGAACUGGGAAAUGAGUUACUGGCCGCGAUUUUUUGUGACUUCAACGGUGACAGCGGUGACAGCGACGGGAGUGAAGGUACCCGCACACAAAAGGAGCCUUUCAGGGACAAAAGUUGCGGCGGCUGCCAGGUUUCCCCCGCGGUGGCACCUCGGGGUAGCCGGGGCAAAGCAGCACAGAGCCGACCUGAGCCUUGCCCUUCCUAUCUCACACUACAAAUAGACAAUUUCAGCCUAAAAUCCCCAAAAUAACCGCAGAGCCCGGCAGCACCAUAGUGUUGGGGUUGUUGAGUUUUUUUUUCUUUCACGAUUUAGGCGCUACAAGUUCAUUUGGGUUAAUUUGGAAGCGCUGCUCCGCGCCGGGGUUCGCGACGCUCCCUGCCUGCCUUUAGCCCAUCUGCUCCCCGCGCUUCUGUACUCCCUGCCUAUGCCAAGCCCUCUCUCUUGCCUGUUGAUAUUCCUAUACUUCUCGUUGCAUUAAAUAAUAAUAACAAUAAAACAAAAUUGCUGGGUAAAA